Molecule: long non-coding RNA, 476 nt
Filed under: Manihot esculenta (cassava)
Lineage: Eukaryota; Viridiplantae; Streptophyta; Magnoliopsida; Malpighiales; Euphorbiaceae
Description: long non-coding RNA (MESC_LNC008999)
Source: RNAcentral
GAUUAGUCUUGCCAAUUAAUAUUUUACCUUGCACACUUUCAGCAUAAUCCUGUAGAGAAAGCAAAAACAGAGAAAGAGAAAUUGAGAGAAAAUUGCUUUUUGCAGAGAAUGAAUUCAAGCUUGAAUGGUGAAAUACAGAUGAUCACUGCUAAUAAUAAUUCAAUUAUUCUACAUCCCAUAAGAUGGAGGCCGGUGAAAAUCCAUCAGACCCAUCUUGGAGGGAUGAUGGUGAACUCCAAGAGAUCAGCUAGCUGAUUUAUGAAGUGGAUUAACGAAGCCCUUCUUCAACUGAUCAUGAACCAGAUGACAAUCUUGUUUUGCAGUUAUGUGAAAGGCUGUCUUGUUUUUCUUUUCUUAGUUUUCUAUGUGAAGAAGAUAAUUUUCUAUUUGCAUGUUCUGUGCAUAUUCUUUGACUCAGACAUUAUAGUUUGUACCUGGGUGCAUUAUUUCUGCUAAAAGGAACUGAGAAAUUCUAG